This 610-nucleotide small RNA is filed under the name Pongo abelii (Sumatran orangutan). RNAcentral's name for it is "retained intron". The record is from RNAcentral. Lineage: Eukaryota; Metazoa; Chordata; Mammalia; Primates; Hominidae.
GAGACGUCCGUUGUCCUGCUUCAGUGGUACCAGCCCAUGAACAAAUUCCUGCUCGUCCGGCAGGUGCUGUUCCCACUGCCGACGCCUCUGUCCGUGUUCGCGCUGCUGACCGGGCCAGGCUCUGAGCUGCCCACUGUGUGCAUCGGCGUGAGCCCCGGGCGGCCGGGGAAGUCGGUGCUCUUCCACACGGUGCGCUUUGGCGCGCUCUCUUGCUGGCUGGGCGAGAUGAGCACCGAGCACAAGGGACCAGUGCAGGUGACCCAGGUAGAGGAGGAUAUGGUGAUGGUGUUGAUGGACGGCUCUGUGAAGCUGGUGACCCCGGAGGGGUCCCCAGUCCGGGGACUUCGCACACCUGAGAUCCCCAUGACCGAAGCGGUGGAGGCCGUGGGUCUGUGCAGGGACGGGAGAGCCCAGGAUCAGGGGUGGAGACUCAAGUGAUCCCCAAGGGUAACGGGCAUUGCUUUCUCCCCAGCUAUGGUUGGAGGUCAGCUUCAGGCCUUCUGGAAGCAUGGAGUGCAGGUGUGGGCUCUAGGCUCGGAUCAGCUGCUACAGGAGCUGAGAGACCCUAGCCUCACUUUCCGUCUGCUUGGCUCCCCCAGGUAUGUUGUGG